CAUCAGUCUACAAAAGCCGGUAGUUAAGUCACAGGACAGUUUUAUUUGUGUGGUACCUUCUUGGUGAAAUUAAGCUAAAGCGAGAAGCAGUUUUCAGCUGAAUAAAUCUCUUGUCCGCGUGGGUAAAAAGCUGCAUUAGUCAAGUGACCUUUUCUACAAACAAGGUCGGAAAGUCUCAGCGAACACAGGCACGGUUGUCCGUCUUUCAUUGCAUCUUCUGCUGACUUCAGAGUGUUAAAUAUAUCUCAAUGACACACGUGCAUGCUUUAAUUGAGUCCUCUAUUGCUUCCACUCUAAAUAAUAUCUUUCAGCAAUGUUGCAGGCUAGGACAAGGUAACAUAAAAUUGAGUUAUGAUACACUUGCUUGAUUAUCAUUAGAGUUUGUGAACAGAUGCUGCGCGGAACAGGCCGCCAGUAGCAGGACGGCGCAGAGUCUGUUGAGCGGUGCCAAAUGCGCGAGAGACAAGCUGUCAACCAGUACAAACCAGCCAAUCAAAAGCCUCAGUUUCAUCGUCAGAAGAUUAACGAUGACAGAGCAGGGUCUGAUCCUUUCAUUUCGGGCUUUGCGGGAGAUCAGGGGUUGCACCCUGCUGUCUAUGCAAGAUUCACCGUGGCGGCACCAUGUCUGUACUUCAGAAAGACAUGAAACCCAAAGGGAAAAGACAAAUGCCACAGUAAAAGUCUUCCCGGUGUGCCGUGUGGUCCCUCAUGCAGGCGUCAUGCGUGAAAACGGGCUAGGAAGAUGAAGAUCAAGGUACCCCACACGUUAAGUUUCAUAAGAAGAUAAAGAACAGAGAGAUCGUCGUGUCAUCGCAUGGGAGCCGAUGAGCAGCACAGCGCAGGGUGCAGAGCGAUCCAUUUACCCGAAAAAUGGUUACGGGCUACAAAUACAUCUGCUUUAAAGGCCCGCGUGGAGAGGGGUUUGAGUUAUAACUCUUGCUUGCAUAAUACACAUGAUUUUCCGUUUUCUGUAUUUACAUAUUCAGUCUGCUACACCCAUCGGUUUUCCUGUGGAGAUUGACUGUUUGCUUUUGAACUCCUGUUUGUCUUUCGUUUUUAUCUCGAGCUCAUCCCGUGGCACUCGUGGGAAGGGUCCUAGUCUAAUCCAGAGAAGCUCAAUCCAAGCAGGAGGAGCAGGAACAAAUUUGAUUCCUCUGAGAAAGUGGGGUGUCAACACCCCUCAUAAACUCAUCUAGGAAAAUUGACUUUGUUCUCCAAAAAAAAAACCGUGAACGUGCUGUUCAUUACAAUCACCUGCUGCAGUGAAAUCUAACGCAUGAUGCCUAAUGGAAAGUGCAAAUCACUGGAUGCGUCCAACAGCAGCUAGCAUUGACAGAUUGUGCAUUUAUUGAAGUGGGCAGCUGUGCAUGGUGCAAGGACCUUGAACCUGCUGAGAUGUGGCUUCAAACAGUGCCCGGCUUUGCCUGCCAUAAACGCUCGGCCGAUUUCUAAGAGCCGCAUCAUGGUGCCUGUGUCUCGUGGCGGGGAUUUCGUUGAUCGGUAGUGGGACGCUAAACCCAGAUGGAUUGCGGAUCAAGCCGGUAUCCAAGACAUCCCUGGAGAUUAACCUUUUAGGUUAAGUAAUUAAAUGAAAAUAUAUAUUUGUUCAGAUGGCCCGAGGCCAAGUCCUUGUGCUGCGUUUCUGUUUAAUAUAGUUUUCUUUAGAGUGGACUUUUGGCAUUUGGCUGCAAAGUACAAGGUUAGAUGGAAAAACAUCCUUAAAAUCUUCAAAUACAUCCGCUGUCUUGAGCUUAAAUGCUUCCUAUCAUCAGCCCGGAGUCUAGUACCAAUCCAAGAUUUUGUUUGAAAUGUCAAGGAUGUUUAAAAAAUGAAUGUUCUUUCUGUAUUUCAACUCAACUUUUUGCUCUUUCUGUAUUUCAACUCAACUUUUUGCUCUUUCAUACUAGAGUACCACAGACGGUUUUGAAAGGUAAUCAGAUCCAGCUGUCGAGGAGUCGCUGAGGUGUCCACCUCAGCGCACAUUUGAAUCUACAUAUCGGACUAGGGCUGUGUGUCCUCUGCUAGCUCUUCGCUGGCUCUAUUCAUGCUUUCAUCAAAUAAGUGAAAGGCAAAGUCAGUCAGGUGUGUCCUUCUGCAAAGCUCAAACUUAAAACGAGUGUAAAGAUAAAACUGAGGUAAUUUCCUGAACUGUGGACGGCCCUCGCAUCAGGAGGACAGCAAUUCAUACGCCAUCACAGAAUUAGUUCUGCAGUUAAAGAUGAAGCUGGAUUCAAAGUAAUAUAUUGAAGCGUUGCGGUUAUGGAACCUUGCAGUACACAUAGAAGGAUUGCGUCUUAAAGGGAUAGUACACCCCCCAAAAAAUGAUCUAGUUUUUUAAUUUUGUGUUGUUUCAAUAUUACAAUGAGAAUAGAACAUUCAUGGAUCUCAAGAGAAACGUUUAUCUUGCUCUUUGUUAAUUUUUGGAACUUGACAGCCCCAGUCCCCAUUCACUUUCAUUGUAUGGAGAUGAGCACCCCAGGACAUUCUUCCUAAUAUGUCUUUUCAUGAUGACACCGUUUUCAGUGUUUCUUCAAAGGUUUCAAAUCGUGCAAGGAAGAGUAUUUGCAACGUUCAUGCAAUAAUGAUUCAUAAGUCUUCUUGGAUUGCAACAAAUGGCAGCUUUGUCUAUAUUUGCCAUUUACAAGCAAUAUUCAGCAAAGACGUGUUCAGAAUAUGGUCUAUGGAGGGAAAUCUCUGUGAAAUCCAUACCGGACAGUGUGUUUUUUUAUUUCCGAUUGUGUUGCAUGGAGAUGAUCUUACCUCUCCUUUGUGCUAUUUUAACAUUACUUCACUAUUCAUGUCUUGUAUUACGCCACCACUUUAUGAAAUUGAUGCAGUUUUUCCCUGCUGUAAAGACGGACAUGGAAUCCCAUUAUGUCUUCAUACCCCACCAAGGGUGUAGUGCUUUAUUUUCAAUCAGAUUUCAGCCACGCUCACCUGCAAUGUGGAACAGGGAUACUAUUCAAAUGUUGCUUUUUCAUUCUAUUUAUUUAUUUCUGCUUUCAAGCACUUAAGUUGCAAAUAGGAAAGCCAUUAUAGUGGCCUGUGUUAUGUUGGGUAGAUGUGAAGGUUUCGCAUCAUUUUCUUUCUUUAGCAUUAUAGGGUUGAUAUUCUUGUACAAUACAUUGAUAUUCAUGUGCAAUAUAUUUAAUUUAUCUAUAUAUAUACAGCAAAUAAGUGCACUAUUAUGUCCCUUUUCUGAUCUGUAUGCUUUGUAAGAUCAUUCAGUUUUAUUGUUUUGCACAGUAUUUGUUAUUCCAUUCCAUUAUAAAUUCAUCAUAUUUGAUUCAGAAUAUAUUAAGAAGGUCUGCA
Long non-coding RNA from Triplophysa dalaica, 3312 nucleotides. RefSeq lists it as uncharacterized. NCBI's taxonomy places the organism in Eukaryota, Metazoa, Chordata, Actinopteri, Cypriniformes, Nemacheilidae. The record is from RefSeq and is a predicted model, not a curated record. The transcript is spliced from 3 exons.